GACGAACGCUGGCGGCGUGCUUAACACGUGCAAGUCGAACGGAAAGGCCCUGCUUUUGUGGGGUGCUCGAGUGGCGAACGGGUGAGUAACACGUGAGUAACCUGCCCUUGACUUUGGGAUAACUUCAGGAAACUGGGGCUACUACCGGAUCGGAGCUCCUGCUGCAUGGUGGGGGUUGGAACGUUUCGGCGGUUGGGGAUGGACUCGCGGCUUAUCAGCUUGUUGGUGGGGUAGUGGCUUACCAAGGCUUUGACGGGUAGCCGGCAUGAGAGGGUGACCGGGCACAAGGGGACUGAGGGACGGACCAGACUCGAAUGGGAGGCAGCAGGGGGGAAUAUGACACAAUGGGCGGGAGCCGGAGGCGGCAACGCCGCGUGUGUGAUGACGGCCUGCGGGUUGUAAACCGCUGUCGCCUGUGACGAAGCGUGAGUGACGGUAAUGGGUAAAGAAGCACCGGCUAACUACGUG
RNAcentral lists this ribosomal RNA (468 nucleotides) under uncultured bacterium. RNAcentral's name for it is "partial 16S ribosomal RNA". It matches the Rfam family "Bacterial small subunit ribosomal RNA", at positions 28 to 507 of the family's 1533-position model. The record is from RNAcentral.